CAGCACCUCAAGUGGUCAGGAGGAUUAUUGGGCCUAAAGCAUCCGUAGCCGGCUCUGUAAGUUUUCGGUUAAAUCCAUGUGCUCAACGCAUGGGCUGCCGAAAAUACUGCAUAGCUAGGGAGUGGGAGAGGUAGACGGUACUCAGUAGGAAGGGGUAAAAUCCUUUGAUCUAUUGAUGACCACCUGUGGCGAAGGCGGUCUACCAGAACACGUUCGACGGUGAGGGAUGAA
Molecule: ribosomal RNA, 231 nt
Filed under: uncultured marine archaeon
Lineage: Archaea
Description: partial 16S ribosomal RNA
Rfam family: Archaeal small subunit ribosomal RNA
Source: RNAcentral